UCAUCAUCAUCAUCAUCAUCAGUCGAUAGAGCAAGCGACUCGUAUAGCCAGUUCAGUUUACACUGUCAGUGUGCCUGUGGCGUCGGGUGACUCAGUACUAGUGGCGCGUGUCCUGCUCUCCGGAAUUGCAGCUAUUUCUUUCCCUCGGAAAUAUAUGGCAGUGCUUUUCAUAUGUGAAUAAGUAUAGUUCUGGGUGUGUAUGAAAACACACGUUCUAUCCUUUCAUGGUAGUUUGAAUUGAGAAUCAACUGUGAUAUAUUUGUAAGGAUAGCGUCGCCGAUUAAGUUGCGCGUCAUUUUUUGUUUUAAUUAUGGUUCAUAUACAGUUGUUAUUAAAUUAAUUUUGUUAACCAAAAGUGAAACUUGGGAACGGUUCCUUAUUUCAGUGGAUAUAGAACAGUUGAUGCGGCGUGAUAUACUCCGUGAUAUACAUCGUCUCGCCCCGCAGAAUAUAUCAUUAAGAUCAAGCUUUGGUGGAGAAUAGAGUUGACAGCCAGGCUUGGACAGUGCGAGGUGGAGCUUCGUUGACUCUAGGAGUCAAGGAUGGAGACCUCUCUGGCUUGUGCCAUGGUUGGAGUGAAAUCUUACUAAGGCUCCAGCGCAGUACGACAUGAUAAUACCUACUCAGUUCCCACACCACCACCGUGA
This is a long non-coding RNA of Macrobrachium nipponense, 647 nucleotides long. RefSeq lists it as uncharacterized. The record is from RefSeq and is a predicted model, not a curated record. The transcript has 3 exons. NCBI's taxonomy places the organism in Eukaryota, Metazoa, Arthropoda, Malacostraca, Decapoda, Palaemonidae.